AACGAACGCUGGCGGCAUGCCUAACGCAUGCAAGUCGAACGAGAACGCCGGGUCUAGUGGGGGACGGGGAGGUAACGAGGGGGAAGUUACACUUAGGUUAGGAACAAUUGCCCGAAGGAGGAGCUAAUAAAGGAGAAUGUAAUCGGAGCAAAGAUCUAUUGCCUUUGGGUGGGGCCGCGUUGGAUUAGCUAGUUGGUAGGGUAAAAGCCGCCCAAGACGACGAUCCAUGGCUGGUCUGGGAGGAUGACCAGCCACACUGGGACUGAGACACGGCCCAGAGUCGUACGGAGGGCAGCAGUGGGGGAUAUUGGACAAUGGGCGAAGGCCUGAUCCAGCAAUGCCGGGUGAGUCAUGAAGGCCUUAGGGUUGUAAAGCUCUUUUACCCGGGAUGAUAAUGACAGUACCGGGAGAAUAAGCUCCGGCUAACUACGUG
Molecule: ribosomal RNA, 433 nt
Filed under: uncultured bacterium
Lineage: Bacteria
Description: partial 16S ribosomal RNA
Rfam family: Bacterial small subunit ribosomal RNA
Source: RNAcentral